ACCCGUUGCGAGCGUAUGUGCGCGCGCGGCGGCGGAGCGCAGCGCGCCCGCCGCUCCUGGGUGCUGGGCGGCGUGCGGCGGGGGGUAUGAGCCUGUCGGCCUCCGGCGGCCUCUCUCGCUCCGGCCGCCGCCGCCGCCAUGUCCGCCACCAUCGAGCAGGAGUUCCAGGAGAUCGAUGCCACUAACGACUGGCAGGCACGUUAUCUGGAAAUUCGACAUAAAUCCAGUGACUACCCUCACAGAGUUGCAAAAUAUCCAGAAAACAGAAAUCGAAACAGAUACAGAGACGUUAGUCCGUAUGAUCAUAGUCGUGUAAAACUGCAGAACACAGAAAAUGACUAUAUUAAUGCCAGCCUAGUGGUCAUAGAGGAAGCCCAGAGAUGCUAUAUUUUAACACAGGGUCCACUACCUAAUACAUGUUGUCAUUUUUGGUUGAUGGUAUGGCAACAAAAAACCAAAGCAGUUGUCAUGCUGAACAGAAUUGUUGAAAAAGAAUCGGUGAAGUGUGCGCAAUAUUGGCCAACAAAAGAAGAGGAAGUUAUGACAUUCAAGGAAACAGGGUUCCGUGUGAGGCUAGUAUCUGAAGACAUCAAAUCCUAUUACACAGUGCAUCUACUACAGUUAGAAAAUAUCAGCAGUUGUGAGUCCAGGAUGAUAUUUCAUUUCCAUUAUACUACGUGGCCAGACUUUGGAGUUCCUGAAUCUCCAGCAUCAUUCCUGAACUUCUUGUUUAAAGUCAGAGAAUCUGGUUCACUAAGUCCUGAGCAUGGACCAGCUGUAAUUCACUGUAGUGCAGGGAUAGGGCGAUCUGGCACGUUUUCAUUAGUAGACACUUGUCUUGUUCUGAUGGAAAAAAAGGACCCAUUCUCUGUAGAUAUUAAGAAAGUAUUACUGGAUAUGAGAAAAUAUCGAAUGGGACUUAUUCAGACUCCUGAUCAGCUAAGAUUUUCAUAUAUGGCUGUAAUAGAAGGAGCAAAAUUUAUAAUGGGGGAUUCAACUAUACAGAAAAGGUGGAAGGAGCUCUCUAAGGAGGACCAAGCGCCAAGUUCAGAGCAGUCUCCUCCACACCCAACCAAAAUAACCACAGAGAAGUACAAUGGAAACAGCAUAGGCCUAGAGAAACAAGAUCAAAUGGAGAAAAUAAAUACUGACUUGUCCAAUAGAGUUCAAGAUAUCACAGAUGGAAAUGUUGAAAGUACUGUCCGAAAACGGCUGCGAGAGGAUAGAAAAGCUAUCACAGCACAGAAGCUGCAGCAGAUGAAGCAGAAGCUAAAUGAAACUGAAAGAAAAAGAAAAAGGUGGUUAUAUUGGAAACCUAUUCUCACUAAGAUUGGGUUUGGUGCAUUGAUUUUAGUUGGAGCUUAUUGCUGGAAAAUGUAUUUUCAAGACCAUUCCUCGUAAGUAAACAAUAAGCCUGUCUGCUUUGGCAGAUAAUCUUGCUGCAAGUUAGUAGCUAGGGGCCUGACUUAAAGCAGUAAACUCUGCACCUGCAAUGGGUACAGAUUAUUAGAAACACACUAGAGAGGCGAUAUCAACUGAUCACAUGUCAACAUCUCAGGACUCUCCACUACAGGUACUUACGAAAGUGAACUGCUACCCCCAACAAAGUUGGUGUUUCUUUUUCAUUUAUAUGACCAGGUACAAACUUGCUGCAACUGUUUAUACACUUUUAAAAACGGUGUUAUACCGGAUCUCUUAGGCAAACCCUGAACUCAGAGGUUUAGCUACUGAAAGUUGACUGGGUUUUAAUUUACAUGCCUGACAUAAGCAAUAAACAGUGUUGUUAUCAUUUACAUUAUUAAUGCAAAGAAGUUAUCCUUAAGUGUGUGUAAUGUGUAAUGUACUAGCAACAUGAACAUAAACAUUUUAUAUUCUUACGACCUAGGAUAAAUAUAUUUUAUAAUUGCAUAUUUAAUCUUUUUGUAGUUUACUGUACUUUUAAAAGCUAAGUUUGUACACAUUUCUGACCAAAAAUAAUUUGAUUUUGAAAUUGUUUAUUAUAAUUUGUGCAUGAGAAUAAUAGCGCAACCAUUCCUCAUAUUUUGACCCAGAUUUCUGAUAUGAGCAGCUAUGGGGUCUCUAACAAUUUCUUUUCUGUUAAUUUGCAUUCCUUAUUUAUUUUUUUGUAGUUUUCAUUAUUUAAAUAAGGCUUGGAAAUUUGACUUUUUUUAAAGGCAUUUGCAAAGUUUGCCCCCACUGGAAAAGCAUACUGUUAAAUUGAUUAAUGUAUUCAGACUUCAGCUAUUGUUUGAAGCCCAGCAUUGUUAAAUUUCUGACAUUCCAUUAAAUGUGAAACGUAAUGUUUUGUGUGUCUAUAGAUUUUAAUUGCUACAAGGAUAAAACUCACACACUAGGAAUGGACGUAGAAAGUACAUCAAAGAAAAGUCUGACUUCCAAGGGUGGUUUUAAUUGAAAACAAAUGUUGGUAAUAUUUUCCUGUAUUUUUAGUUCUAUUAACCACAUUUAUAACUCUGAGGUGUAGAAGACCCACCUAAACUGCUUUUAAGGUCCUUUACCACUGUACUGAAGAGGCAUGAUAGUAAAACACUUUAUGAUCAGAAUUUUGGGAAUACUUAUGCUAAGGUCACUUUAAUAUUAAUGAAGCACACACCUUGCAGUAUGUGGACAAUGACAUUUUCUAAAUGGUACUUCAAUGCAAAUCACUUUCUACCCUUCUCUUUGAAUAGGGAGAUUGUGUGUGGCUCUGUCUGGCUUGCUUUCAGUCAUGUUGAGACUUAGUAACUUCUGCUGUUGGGCUGCAGUAUGAAACCUGGAUUUUUAUAUAUUCAACCAUUGCUUUGUUGGAUGAUAUUAGACAAGUCACUUUUUCUCUCUCUUGUUUACCUAGCCUAAUUUUGGGGUGGGGGAGGGAUGGAAGGGUGUGUUUUUGUAAAGCACUCCUUGGAUUUCCUGCUGAAAAAUACUCUGCUAGAUAACUAACUAACUCUGCUAGUUCCUCCAUCCAAAGAAAUUAACUUGAAAAGUUUCCAGUACUUUCAAGCCCAGUCGUAACAUGCCAGGCAUGGGGCCCAAAUGGUCUGACAUUUACUGCAGAAAGCUGAGUAUACACUUUGCAAUUCUUAUUUCACAAUAGCUAAUACUAUUUUGGACUGUACUGUUUAUAUAGUAAAUAAAUGUGUAAGUGUCCAGAUAAGGAAGAGAAAAAGACGAAAAAAACAAAUGCAGUUUUUCAAGAGAGAGAAUUCUAGGUUUUAGAGGCAUUAUUCAUUAAAAGAUGAUUUGUAUUGUUGUGUUACUGACCAGCCAUGGAGCUGUGACAGCGAAAGGACUUAUUAAUUGCUGUGGUGCAGUAAGGGUAGGCAGCCUAAGUAUUUUAGGACAGGUUGCACUGUUAACAAUGGAAACUUUCAGUUAGGAAGAGUCUGAUAGAAAAUUCUUUUUUGAAUUGUGAAGACUGAGGAUUUUUCAUUAUCAGCUCUACUGAUAUCCACUGUAAAUGUACAUGCCUUAUAAAGUUAUUUUGGUUAUGAAAAACCAUAUGGAAUAUAAUAGAGUACAAAUAAAUAUUCCAGAUUUUAAGUGCUUAAAAGCAACUAAGGAAAAAAAUGCCAGAGAACUGCACUGAAAUCCCACAAUUUUUUGUUUCCUUUCUCUGCGUGAAAGGGAUUUUCCUGGGCCACCAGCAUCCUACUGACAUUAAGCUGUAAUUAUGUGUUGUCAAGUCAAAACUUGAGUUUUAUUUUUUCUUAAUUCUGUCCUCUAAACUUAGGCUUUUUUUGUUCUCCAAAUCCUGAGCAGUCAUUCUUCUUUUCUUGGGGAUGGGAGAAGGGGGUGGUAUGUGGGAUGCUUAUGUUGUGUCACAGUGUUACCUUCUUGAUACGGUAAAGUAGGGCUUGCAUAAUAAACAGUUAAUCUGUAAGAUUCUGAUCUGGCUACAUCACUAGAUGUAUCUCCAGAUUCUAAUUGUUAAUAAUUUCAGAACCCUGGAUCAAUAGAACUGUUGCACAGAACUAUUUUGAACAGUGAAUAGUGUGUUACUGUGUGGGAGUGGGAAGGUGAAAUUAAGCAUUAGCUUUCUUAGCAUAUUCUCGGAGAUGAUUUGGAUGAAACUAUUUUCUGGACCAUCAGUAGCUGAGUCAGGACAAAAUUUGCCCUCUUGCCUUCAAUACUUCAAAAAGGUUUGAGAGACUUUUAAUUGCAAACUGAGCUGUGUGAUAUUGUUAGCCUGUAGAAUUUGAACUUAAGGCAGCUUUAAACAACUGGAUGUUAAAUAAGAACAGAUGUGGGUUAAAAUUAAGGUCUGUCAAUCCCUGGGACCUAUGUUUUAGGAGAUGUGUAAAAACGGGGAGAAAAAAAUCCGCGUUUCUAGGAAGCUGCAGAUUGGAACUAUGCUGCUUCUGAAGUGCUGUUGAACUUCUGAUUCAAAAUCCUGCAGCGAUUUCCACUCUCCACUUGCCACCCAUUCUGGAAAUAGCGUACCAGUUUGCAUAGCAGACUACUUAAAAUUUGACCGGUUAAAAGUGUUGUUAAAAGUGACUGUCAAAGCAUUGUACAAAUUGUGCUCAUCUCAGAAAGCCAUGGCUAACAAACAUUUAGACCUUAGUUGCAAGUGGUUUGCAAGGUUUGGAAUUAGUCCUUUAGGUUUUCUGUUUGAUUAUAUUGUGUUUCUGAAGAAUUACAAGUUUAUGGAAGUAGGAUGUUACAAGUGAAACCUACCUAAUUUCAUUAUAUCUUGGGGGGAAGGGGUCUGUUUCCUUAUAUUGACCUAUAUUCAAGUGAAUAGGGAAAAAGCGUGCGUGCAUGUAUGUGUGACUGGAGUGGCCGACUGUCGGGGAUUAAAAAGCCUGGUUAGCUUUAAGUUUAAUUAAUGCUAACCAAAUUAUUUAGCUGGCUGUUUGACAUUGUUGUUGAACCUGAGACUUGACUGCGUGAGAGGUUAACGAUGACGGAAGAGGAACUCUUCUUCGGGGUCAAGUGGCUUAAGUCGUAGGAUGAAAUUUGCAGAAUUGACAUAACAAACUGUCUUCCUGUUUUCUUGCAAAGUUUUAGAUCAGUCUUUCAUUCUUAUGUACUAACAAUAAAUAUGUUCAAAAUUGCACCUCUGUCUGAGUCUUUAUUUAAAUUGGAAGGAUUCAUAUUUGGAAGAAUUCUUUAAUGCUUUAACUUAAACCUGCUAUAAGUCAAGUGGUGUCUAUAGAACUUUCAAGCGUUUUGCUGGUAGUUCCCUGGGGAGUUUGGUGCUGUAAAUACCAAGGUCUUUCUGUAUGUUCCUAACCUUUCCUAAGAACAAAAUGUUCAAUGUUGGAAUGUCCUCCUUAGUACAAGAAAAACUUGCUUAGAAACGUUUAUUUCCAUGCCAUGUUGCCAGGAUUGGCCUACAAAGCCAUGAAAAAUUUUGAUUUUGAGAUGCUGUCUUCUAUUCCCACUAAGGUUGAAGAUGAUUUCUCUGCAGUGCUUAUGCAUAGAUGCAUGGGUAAUGGCUUGCUGGAUUGAGACUUACACUUGAAGCUCUCCAGGAAGUAAUGUGCCUUACAUUAUACUAUGGAAAUACCUUCUGAAAAAGAAACAGCUUUCCAGAAGCACUUGCUAUGCACAAAAAUUAAUCAGUAGUUGCUACAGUGAAUGUGUGAGAAGCUGCUUUGUGUUGUAUAGCCGAGACUGACUGACACCUAAGCCUUCAAGACUUGUGAAUAUUCUGCAGCUAGAAACUGCAAAUUAUUGACAUGCAAAGCAAGACAUGAGCCCCUCUUCGGGAACAAAACUGAGGUCUAAUAAGUACCAAGAUGACCUCAAUUAUCUGUUUACAGCGUAAACUACAUCCAGGGGAUGAAGAAUACCACCAGCAUGCUACUUUGCAAAACAAAAUACUUUGCUGUCAUGUUUUUAUAAUACCUGUAUUAAUGUAGAAAGAUGUAAGAGAAAUAAAUUAGAAAAUACUUUGUUUUGUACUGCCAUUCUUAUGUAUUUUUCUAUGUUUUUGGCAGCAUUAAAUAUUUUUUUAAAUUGACAA
This is an RNA transcript of Rhea pennata, 5971 nucleotides long. It is a transcript of the gene named protein tyrosine phosphatase non-receptor type 2, with no coding region annotated. NCBI's taxonomy places the organism in Eukaryota, Metazoa, Chordata, Aves, Rheiformes, Rheidae. The record is from RefSeq and is a predicted model, not a curated record. The transcript has 10 exons.